Callithrix jacchus (white-tufted-ear marmoset) is the source of this 474-nucleotide long non-coding RNA. RefSeq lists it as uncharacterized. The record is from RefSeq and is a predicted model, not a curated record. Lineage: Eukaryota; Metazoa; Chordata; Mammalia; Primates; Cebidae.
ACGUCUCAUUGUGAUGGAUUAAUCCUUUGGCCCCGGUCCUGCCCGGGUCACCAGCUCAGCCUGCGCCCGCCGAGUGCUGGAGGGUGGACAAAGGGCACUUUAAUCACUCAGCACAUUCCCUCUUCUCUCCUGCAGAAGGGCCCUCUCCAGUUGCGCGGCCCUCGUACAGAAACCGGGAUGGACUUGCAGGUGGCGCGCCUCCAACAAGGAGACUGAAUCACCUGAAAGAACUGGAGAGCUCUGCAAAGGAGUGAAUGCAUCUUGUAAGCAAGGAGAGGGAGCUCUCUGGGACUGAGUGCACCCAAACUCUUGUGUCUCUCACAGUUAAAUCAAGAACUAUAAUUCUGACCAGCUAACCAGCCAAAGUUUAAUUGGGGGAAGAGAGAGAGAGAGAGAGAAAGUGAAAGUUAAUAAAAUUGUUUGCCUAUAUACAAAGUACAAAAUGUUAAGGAAUGCAAUAAAGCCUUCUUCGUG